GACGAACGCUGGCGGCGUGCUUAACACAUGCAAGUCGAACGGAAAGGCCCUGCUUUUGUGGGGUGCUCGAGUGGCGAACGGGUGAGUAACACGUGAGUAACCUGCCCUUGACUUUGGGAUAACUUCAGGAAACUGGGGCUAAUACCGGAUAGGAGCUCCUGCUGCAUGGUGGGGGUUGGAAAGUUUCGGCGGUUGGGGAUGGACUCGCGGCUUAUCAGCUUGUUGGUGGGGUAGUGGCUUACCAAGGCUUUGACGGGUAGCCGGCCUGAGAGGGUGACCGGACAGAGUGACACAGAGACAACGCAGAAGCGACGUGGGGGUGGAGGGGGGCGGAAUGUGGGACAGGGGGCGGACGUCCGAGGAGCAGAGGCCGGGUGCGGGAGGACGGCCGUCGGGGGGAAGCGCUGUGUGGGGGGGGAGGAUGGGUGCGGGGUGGUAGUGAGAAAAGAGCCACAGGCUAACGACGAGCCGGCGGCCGGGGUAAUAGAAGGAAAAGCACACGUCUGAAC
RNAcentral lists this ribosomal RNA (509 nucleotides) under uncultured bacterium. Its description in RNAcentral is "partial 16S ribosomal RNA". The stretch from base 20 to 327 matches the Rfam family "Bacterial small subunit ribosomal RNA", at positions 47 to 358 of the family's 1533-position model. The record is from RNAcentral.